UGCCAAGGAGACUAUGUCAUCACCUGGUCUACACUUAUCUCUCUGAUAUCAUAACAUGACCAACUGUGCCAAGGAGACGAAGUCUCACCUGGUCUACACUUAACUCUGAUUUGACAGCCCAGCUGUCUCACUCAUAGUACCAGGAGCGACCUAGACUAUCCAGGGGCGACCUGGUAUGGCUAUCUCAUGCCAUAACUCUGUAUCUGUUCUCUGUCAAGGGCUAAGGAUCAUCCAACAUUCAUCCACAGGAACAACAACAUAUGCAAUGCAUCAUAUUCGUGAAUUCUAAUGCAACACAACCUAAUACAUAACAUGGCAGUUUAUGAUGCAUGGAUCAUGCUAGAAAUGUGUCAUUUCUCAAG
Molecule: long non-coding RNA, 362 nt
Filed under: Manihot esculenta (cassava)
Lineage: Eukaryota; Viridiplantae; Streptophyta; Magnoliopsida; Malpighiales; Euphorbiaceae
Description: long non-coding RNA (MESC_LNC004024)
Source: RNAcentral